RNAcentral lists this unclassified non-coding RNA (11758 nucleotides) under Leishmania donovani. RNAcentral's name for it is "gene:LdHU3.04.0650(CDS-product:hypothetical_prote in_conserved)". Lineage: Eukaryota; Euglenozoa; Kinetoplastea; Trypanosomatida; Trypanosomatidae. The record is from RNAcentral.
CUUGUGCAUCAUUUAUUGUUAACGCACCCACAAAACAACGAGGCGAAUACGCAUCCCCUCACAUCCCGCAUACACCCGAAGGUCCGUCUCUUAUCAUCACCACGGCCACCAUCACCAUCCCUUGCCACUUGUCCUCGGCUCCUUUUUGGGCACACGCAUAACGGCAGCACCGCCAUCGCCGCCUUUGUCUCUCCAUCACCCACGCGUGCAGGCUGUCCACUAGUCUCCCUCCCUCUGUGCGUGUGUGUGUGUGUGUGGAAGGGGUGUGUUGGGACGGUGCGUGUGUAACAGAAAAGAGAGUUGUAUUUUGUUCUUGUGUUUUCCCUCCUCUUCUGUGCUCGUUCGUGACGGCAGCGCCGCUCCGACACGUUUACGGUACGCUACACGGGGCACGUAAUACACACGCACUCACCUACACACAUCCAUACAUCUAUACAUAUAUAUAUAUACCCGUUGUAUCGGUGCAUACACCGUUGUCUAUCUGGAAGCGCCCACCCCAGCGGCCUUUCAACCAGCAGACACACAGACACACACUGGCACACGCACGCACUGGCACAACCACAGCCACACCACGAACACAUAAAAAAAAAUAACAAAAAAAAACGGAUUUUUAUUUCGUAUUUGUUCGUUUUUUUAUUCUUUAUUUUUUUUUCGGUGUGUGUGUCGCGUGUGUGUCUGUUGUUGCGGUUGUUGCGUUGCGCAAGCACCGAGAAGGGCGAAGCAGACACACUCCACCACGAGCACACAAUACAGAGCAAAGCAGGCAGGCAGGCAGGCAGACACACACACACGCGCACGCACACGCGUGCCUCUUCUGUCUGCCUCCCUCUACAUCCAAGCACCGCCAGAAAGCGCAAGCAGACAAGCGGCGCAGCCGCACCCCCAAGGCGCACGUACACACCUACUCACGCACACGCAGGAGAGCGCCGGGUGACGGGGCGGGACGGCCGGGGAAGUCGGCGGAGGAUCGCCGGCUUUGCAAGACGGAGUACACUUAUAACGCCGUUGAAGCAGCGAAAGAGGGAAGGACGAGAGAAGUCAGACAGAUUAUAAAGGGCGCUUCAAACAGAUCAAGACCGUGAAAGGAAAAGACGAGGCCAAAGGCAAGCAGGUUGCGCCUGAUUCCCCCCUCCUCCUCCUCCUCCUCCUCCCCUCUCGCUCGAACUUGCUGUGUAUCUCUGUCGCCCUCGGCUGGGGUCCAUCAGCUGUGCUUGUCCGUCUGUGCAUGCGCAGGUGUCUCGUUCCAUUCAGGGGGUGCCUGCAACGACGCGACGGACGUGUUUGCUGGUGUUACUUGGUUCAUUUUCUCAUUUUUCUGGUUCUGUUUUCGUUUUUUUUUGUUCGCGGCGGUGCACAUUAUCUUAGUAUUGUGGUGCAGGUGUGCCUGUGUCUAGUGGUCUUGCUGAGGCAUCGGAUGAAGACUAAUCCGCAUUGAAGGCCUUCCACUUCUCCUUCCUUGGAUCUCUUCAUCAAGCCUUCAUCUCUGGUCAUUUUCCCCUUCUCCCUCCCCCUUCCCCCUGUGUGUGUGUGUGUGUGUGUGGGGGGGUGUGGGCGUGUGUGGAUGUGGGUGUGCGCGUGGGUGUGCGUGUGGGUGUGUAUCUUCUUUUGUCGUUGUCGCUGUCAAGUGCACGUGGGUGCGCUGGUGUUCUGUCUGCGUGUGUUUAGGUGUGGGUGUGGGUGUGUCCGCGUGGUGGUGGUGGUGACGCUGUCGACUCUCGUGACGCUGAGUGCGCAUUCCAAUAUACACGCACACAUGUAUAGACGCGUAUUGGGACUCAGUUGUUUUCUUGUCUGUUAGGCACGCAGGGCUGAGCCUUGCCGCCCCGGCCCUCCUCUCACCUCUCCUCCCCUCCGUGUGUUCGCUAGUUUGGCCAUAGUUGUUGUUGGUUGUUGUCCCAUUUUCCGUAACACCCAAAGGGGUCCUCCGUCUUCCUCGCCUGUGUCGCCCGCACAACUAAUGAACUCUAGUAGGUCCUCGCCUCCGUCACCGCAGACGUCAGCGACAUCUUGGUCCACGUUGCCCUCGCCCGCAACGGCAGCAGGAGCGCCUUCGCCCGUAUCGGAGCCGCAUGUGGUCUACCCCGCGCCGACGGAUGCUACGGCAGCGCCGCGGGCGGUGCCCGUGUGCAGCCGCUUCGCGGCACUGAGGAGCAGCGUCCUCUCCCCUGCAUCGUCGACGCUGAACUUGUCAGCGAGCAACAAGCCCGCCAAGUCGGUGCCCGCUCUUGAGGUGGGCACUUCGCUAUUGGACCGACGGAAGCCUUCCCCGCCGUCACCACGCACGCCGAAGGCCGCCACAUUGACGACGGCAACGACGACCUCCGCGGCUGCAGCUGCCUGCGCUUCACAUUCGUCGAAAGCACAGCACACACGACGUCAUCCAUUGGCUGAUGCCGACAGCGUCCAAGGACGCGCCGGCGGCGGUGUUGGUGGUGCCAGUACGGCCUCCUCGCUGUCUGCGGCCUGUGCGCCGCUGUCCGCAUCCCUGACAGCCAUCGCAGCAUCGUCCGGCAAGCUAUAUCGACCACCGCACGCGCGUGAGGACUCGUCGAAGCAGCGUUGGAGCGCCGGUGAUGGUAGCGGCGCUGGCAACGCCGCGACCACAACGGAUGCGGGCACAACGGUGUCCGGUGCGCCCCCCACACCUUUAGACAGCGCAGCCGCCGUUGCAGGGGCAGCGGCAGGGCCGACUGCGUCGUCCUCGUCAUCGCCACCGCCGCUGCGUCCGAGCGUGAGUGCAGCGGUGUCGAAGUCUACGGACGCCUCGUGGUGGUUUCCGGUGAACAAGGCGAACUCUUUGUUGUCUGUCGCCCCGCAACGCGGCGGCAGCUCGAUAUCAGCUGCACCGUCAUCCACCGUAUCCAUGCCAGCGACUGUUGCUGCAGAAGCGUCAGGCGCGUCCCCUGUGGCGACCCUUCCACCGCCCGCCACGUGCGAGGACGACCAGCAUGGACGGGCGGGAAAGUCACCGGCGGUUCAUUCAUCUGUUACGGCAACGCCCAGAGAGCCUGGCGCCGCGGAGCGGCCAGAACCAACAGAACCGCUGCCGAAGCCCUCCCGCUCGGCGAAGCGCAAGCAAAAAGUGCGUGCUAUGGCAGCAGCAGCGGCCGCAGCAGCAGCAGCAGCUGAGGCUGAGGCUGAGGCUGAGGCUGAGGCUGAGGCGAACCGACAGCCUGACACCGAGGUGGAGGUCGAAGUGGCGGCGGAGCGCCGUGAAGUCGUGGUCGCACACCCGAAAGGCACCUCGAUGGCUGCAACCAGUGACAGGGCGUCAGCCAGAAUUGGUUUAGGUGCACACUCAUCGCCGGCGCGCACGGGGUCGGCCCCAACGAAAGCAGCAGCGGCGCCGAACACGAGUAGUGUGAGUCGCCGUCCUGGCUGGCACCCCUCGUUCGCGACGUCUGCGGCGGUCUCAGCAACUGUGGAGGGCGAGGGUGCAGUCGGCGUGGCCGGUGACGCAGAGGUAGUUGGCAGCAGUGGGAACGGUGGGCCGCAGAUGAUGGCGAACGGCCUUAGUAGUGUGAUGCCGGUUUCCUUUGCAGGCGCGCUGCCGUCGAAGAGCUACGCGGGGCAGACGAGCACGAUGCCUGGCAUGAGCGACACUGCUGUGCAGCUGCUCCCAACUGAGAUGGCGACGGCCGGCGGCGUUGGUGGUGGUGGCAACGCCGGUUACAUGAAUGGCUAUGGAUACCAGCUACAGCAGCUGCUGCGCCAUCCGCAUCAGUCGCCUACCCAGCAGUACUACGCCGCCUCUCUGCUUUCACAGCAGCAGCUGCAGAUGGCAGCGUGUGGCUACUACAGCCGCUCCCACAUGGCCUCUCCACAACAGCAGCAACAGCAGCAGCACCGUUCCCAUGCGCGGCCCUCCACAUCCGGGGUAGAUCGCAGCAGCGCGGCCGCGACCACCAGCCCCGACAGCAGCUGCGCCAGCGCCAACGCUCUGCUGGCUGCCGGCGCAGCAAACACGUCUGCGGCGGGAGCUGCGGCAACCAUGUUCGACCCCGCCAAUACAGUCAUGAGCGCGAGCGGUGGCGGCGCAGCGCCUCCUCCUGCUCCGCACCGUGUACCCGGCCUUCACCGAGGCCGUGGAGCAGCGGCAGCGGCUAGUCAGAGUACAGCUGGGCAGCUUGCGCCGUCAGCGUCCCCGCCUCCCGCGCCGGCAGCGACAGGGUGUGCGCCCCCGUCCGCGUUGUUGCCGCUGCACAGUGGCCACCUGCCGAGCAUCCGCGUCGGUGUUUCGACAACGAUGAACGCUGACUCAUCCGCAUCGCCCUCGAUGACGGCAACUGGCGGCACCAGUAACUUCGCGGCACCCCGCGUAGACACGCUAAGCAGCAACGCCACGGCAAUGGGUGCGGGGUGCACCGGCGACACAAUGCUGAGCAUGGCGUCUGGCAUGUCGCAGCACCACCACUACCACCACCACACACCACCGCUGGCACAUCCCUCAUCCGUCUCUGGGCAGUUCUCGCAGCGCCCGCAUCAACAUCAUCACCAGACCAUGUCGCUCGGAAGCCUGAGCCUCGACGGCGGCGGCGGUGGCCAAGUGAACACGACCCAUCACGAAGACAUGGAAUCGCAGCCCUCCAUGUCCCCUGGGGCAGCGCAGGAGCACAUCUCCGCCACCACCUCGCCAAACAUGCCGUCCCGAUCGCAGGGUGGGCCCUCUGCCGCCGUGAACUGGGGAAGCAUGGGUGGCUCCAACCACGGCCGCUCGGCUAACGCGAAGCACAAGGGCGCCCCCAGUGACUGCGCUCACAGUCGUGGGAGCAACAGCCACAGCGGUAGCACUGUUGCCGGCUUCGACAACAGCCGUCGCAGCGGCAGCCGACAGAGUCACACGCAACAGCAGGCGAUGAUGAUGAACCAACCAGGCAACUACAUGAGCUCUAUGUACGGAAGUCUGCCGAAUCCAGACCAGCAAGCAACCGGCCACAUCGGCAGCAGUGGUGGUGGGAUGAUGCCUAUGCACUACAACGCACUCAACGUUGGCGGUGGUGGUGCGGGUCGGCAGCCCAUAUUCCACCAUCAACAACCACAGCAGCAGCAGCAGCAGCACACGAUGGCGAAACCGCCGCCGAUCCCGUACUACGACUUCAUCACGGUGCUGCCGACGUUUGUGGCGACGUGCCUGACGCUGAAGCCGGAGGACGAGGCAAACCGCGAGCAGCUCUGCUGGAUUAUCGAGGCCGUGCUGCGCAAGCACCUAAACCAAAAUGCAGAGAUCCGUGUGCACGGCUCCAUCACGACCGGUCUGGCACUUCCGUCGAGUGACGUGGACCUCCUUGCUGUCGGGUACCAGCCGAUCGCGCCGCUCGAGGCGCUGCAGCGGCUGUCGAAGGCCCUCUUGGAGUUGGACGAAGACAGCAAGAACGACGCUCUUCGCUUGCAAGAGCUCAUCGAGGCCGAAGCGCAGCACCGCCGCCGGCAGCUGAUGGAGGAAGCAAAGAAGCGGGCAAAGCAGGUGGCGCUGGCGGCAGCGACUGGAGCAGGAGUUGCAGUAGCCCCCGACGAAGGCCGUCACUGGGCCAGAGAGAGCCGCUGCAGUGCUAGCGAAGUCUGUGAGGCGGCCAGCUUGCGGGACUCCGACAGCGACGCCGAUGACGAUGACAUCGGCAGACGGUCUGAGGAGAAUGCCAGCGAAGGUGAAGGGACGAGCGGCCUCUCGCCGAAGCGUGUAGCGCGCGCUGGCAGUAUCGUGAAGAGCCUCCUCCUUAGCUCCACCGAGGCCGCGGAGGAAAUGCCGGUAAUCGGCGAGAUGGAUGAGGCGGCGCGUGCCGCACCGAAUCGCCGCGUGUCUAGCCAUUCACGGCGCUCUCCCUGUGUGCCUCAAGACGGCACGGCGACAACGGCGCCUCAGCGAAGCGUCAGCGCCUCGUCGCUGUCGACAGAGUCGAGCACGACGUGCUUCUCCGCGACCGCCUUCCCCCUGGACACCCGUAAAGUAUUUCUGACCUCGAGCGCCACGGUUGGCGACGAUGGCGAGUUUGUUCGCCUUGCCUCCGGCUCUGGCACCGUCCCGGGCGCGGGUGCCACGUCGACCUGCGCUAAGAGUGCUGUGGGUCACGCGGACAGUGUGAGCGCGAGUCGCCUGCACGACCCCGACGUGGCGACGGCGGACACGGAGGUCUACGGCACCGUUGGCGACGUGGAGCAGGCCGAGGAGGUGUUUCGCGGUCAGAUUGAAAAGGACUACAACUUCAGCACCUCCGUAGACCUGUCGGCGCUCUUCGCGCCAUCGAUGGGUGGUGGUAUGCCGCCUGUCGCGCCACCGGUAGCAGCAGCAAGCGGUCUAAGUAUCGGAGGUGCCAGCAGUAGCAGCAGCGGUCUCGCGUUCCAAACAACCACGACGCGGCUGCAUGACUCUGCCUCGUUGUCGUCCCCGCGCGAGUCUGCCGCGGCGAGUGGAAGUGCCGACCUAAAAGGCAGCGUACGUUCCCUGCCGCCCGCCAUGGCGUCGGGUCUGCAUGUCGACGAGGACAACAUUGCAGCACAUGCGCAGCCGCUGCCGAGAAGCAAGGCAGCACCAGCCGACGCAGAUAAGUUGGCCAAUGAAGCGGAGCUCCGGAGCAGCCAGGCGAGGCUUGCAGACGGCGGCGCCGCGGAGCCGGAAGGCCGUACUGUCAGUGGCGGCGGCGAUGCUACGGCAGCCGAGGCGGAAGCGGCACACGCGGGUACAGAAACCGUGGCCGCCGAUGAGGCCGCGGCAGCUCAGUCGUCGUCGGUGUCGCCCACAGCUGCAGCAUCCGGAGAGAGGGCCGCCACGGUGCAGACCGCGGCAGCUCCGCCGGCGUCCCAGGACGCAGUGACGCGGAGCCCGAUCGUUCUCGGUGCUACGGAUGGCCGUGGCCGUGGCGCGGGCCAUCUCACCUACGUCCCUGUUCAUGAAGGCCCGCUGUUCUUUGUGCAGUCCAUCACGGCGACUCGUGUGCCGGUCAUCAAGCUGACAGACAAGGCAACCGGCACCAAGGUGGACAUCACCUUCGCCGGCGGCGAGCACUGGCGGUCGAUGCAGCUUACACGAUCGCUGCUGGAGGUGUUUCCGCAUGCCCGCACGCUCAUUCUGUUCCUCAAGUACUGCGUUCGCAGCCUCGGUGCCGGCGAGAGUGAGCCUGGCGGGGUGACGUCUUUCGCCAUCUACCUCAUGGUACUCCACUUCUACAAUGAAUGCCGCCAACGCAUUCUCCUUCUCCUGCGUGAGCGGAACGCCGCGUCGUCGUCAGCGCAGGCACAAAGCCGUCAAGCAGGAGCGGAUACCGGAGAGCACCAGCAGCCGCAGAAGGAUCGCGCAGCGGAGGAAGCCCUGCGCCGCGGCGGCGCCGCGGACAACAGUGCUACCUCUCCGACGGCGGGCCCCGCUCCCCUUACUCUUGGGCUGCUGGAGUACAUGCUGGGCGAGUAUCUUGCACGAGUGGAGCAGCGUCACGCGCAAUUGGUAGAGGAGACGGGGGCACGGCGAAGUGUGUCGCUCGACGCAGCAGGCUCUGACGAUGUUGCCGAGCUCUACAGCAGCAGCGGGAACAUCCAGAAGGCGGCACCGGCUCUUGGGCGAGCGUCGUCCUCCACGGCGGUGGCAACUGGAGCGUGCGCGACCAUCAAGGCGGCCUACGCCAGCGACGACAAGGAGCGCCUGCGUGCGAUUCGCCAAACGAUACUGGGCUUUGUCGGCGACCCGGCAGCCGCGACAACAGCGGCAGGCGCGUCCGUGACAGCGGCGGUGGCGCUGGCGCUGGCGCCACAGACGACGACUGGCGCGACCCCUGAAAAGGAAGGUGGAGCAGGGCGCACGCAACAGACGCGACCCACCUCUUCAGACGCUGCUGAGAGUGCCUCCGGCGGCGGAGCGGCAGCGGGUGCGAGCAGCAGCACCAGCACCAGCACCCCGUCACCGUUGCGCGAGCAUCAGCCUCCUAACCUCACCGGGACUGCAGGCCUCGGCGGCACCAUCACCACCGCCACCACCACACCUAGUGCCGGCGAGGAACUAGCGGCUGUGGUGGACGCUGCGCCUGGCCGCCUCGCGCCACCGCCGCACCACUACCUACUCAAGACGGUAGAACCUCAGCCGCACGAACGCGUGGUGGGCGAGGGGUCGCACGUUGAUACCCCUGGCGCCUACGAAGUAGCAGGGCGUGACGAGAAGGUGGCGGAAGACACGAGCGCUGAGCAUUCAACAGCGGCUAUGGCCACACCAGAGGCUCUCCACCAGGAGACGCGCGCCGACGCGGCGGCAGCCGCGGUAGCGGAGGGUACUGAGACGCCGGAGGAACUAGUCUCCGCCGCCGCUGGCAGCGCAGCGAAUGUAGAUCCUGUGAAAGCCGGCCGAGGCUCUGCUCAGUCAGCAUCGCUGCCAGCGGAGACAGAGACGGCCGGCGCAGCGGGCGCCCAUGCAAGUCGAGUAGCAGAGGCAGCAGCAGCAGCAGCAGCAGCAGCCUCGACGUCGAAGAGGGCCUCUGAGCAGCACAGCGACGCCGACAGCGAAGACAGCGCCUUCGACGCGUUCGCCGCGGACUUCCUGCGCCGGCAGGCAGAGGUGUCGGACUUGUUCCUUGACUUCUGCCACUACUACGGCUGCGCCUUCGAUUACGAGACCAGCGGCAUCCGCUUCACCAUUGACGGCCGCUCCGAGGUGGUGGCAAAGCCGUUCCUCUGCUCCCGCCGCGGUCAGCACUUCCACAUGACAUCGCCUUUCGACCCUGAGUACGACUUGACAGCGCGCAUGACACACAUGCGCGACUUUCAGUGGCUGUGCUGGUGGUUUGCCGAGUGGGGGGCGGCGCGGCAGUCGCCGCAGUACUACGGCAGCUGCAGUCUUCAGUACGUCCUUCAGUGUCUGUCACCCAUGUCGGCAGACGCGGACUGCCAGGCAGUGCAUCAGGCGCUCAUGAAGCAAGCCGUCGCCGCCGCGCGACGUGCCGAAAGCACCGCCGCAGCGACGCUCACGCAACAUUACAGCAACGGCGGCGCCGCGGGCGAGGGGGGCCACCCUCACCACAGCAUGAGCGCCCCCAUGCUUGCCUUUCAAGAGAGUACGGGGAGAAGCCAUCACAUGAUGCUCAUGCAGCAGCAGCAGCAGCAGCAGUCUGCGCCCAGGCAGCCGCACACGAUGAUGAUGUCGAUGGACGGCAACACAAAGUUGUAUGGCGCGCAGCAGCAGCAACCGCAGAGCAUGAGAAGCAGCACGACAACGAUGAUGCCGAUGACCCUUCGCGCGCAUCCGCAGCAGCCACAGCAGCAUGCGGGUGGUGUGCCGGUGCCACCGAUGAACGUGUACAAUGGCCCUAGCGUCGAACAGCAGCGCUGCGGUGGCGCGGGGGUGGCGCAACACUCCGUUGCUGCGCCGUUUCCUCACUUGCAGAGCACGAUGAUGUCGCCUGGCUCGCCAGUGCACGCUUACCAGCAGCAGCAGCAGCAGGCAAGCCCCAGUGAAGCGAGUGGCAUGGACACAGACACGCACGUGCGCGGGGGUGGCCUCGGUGAACAUGACCACCGCAGCGCCCCUCAUUUAAAAUAUGGCGGCAGUAUCAGCAUCGCCUCCACCGCAGCGAAGAAGGGGUCCGCGACGGCACACGAAACGGCGGCCAUACGCGCUGCCAGCAGUGGCAGUAGAAGCCGUCCUGCCAGCGAAUGCGGCGCCACUGCGGCGGCCGCAGUAUCAGCAAGGACUCGUGCGCGCCGGCGUCCGCCACUGCAGCUGCCGUAUGUGGACUCACGGGAGGAGGCCUUUGAAGGGUCCUCCAGUCACGCCGCCAUGACGCCCACGGCGGCGGGGAUGAUGGCGGUGCACAGCUAUCCUACUGAGAACAACGACGACGUCGACGGCGGCAACAGUCCUCGUGGCCGCGUCGAUGUCAUGCUCACGCCUGUGAAGGGCGACGAAGAUGAGGAGGACGAAGCCGGCGGGCGCUAUGGUGACCGCGGUUACGGCAGCGAGAGCGUCGUUGACUACACCGACUGUCUCGACCAGUGUGGCGGCCGUGGGGAUGCGAACGCAGUCAUGCCGCAGCACUACCCGCAACAGCUGGCGCCGCAUGACGCGCAGGCCACCGCAGAAGGCAAUGCUGGCGUUGGUGAGCACGGCGCAGGUGGCCUGUGCAACGGCUACUCGCCGAACAUGGCAUACGCAGGCAACCAGGGCUACGCUGCCUCGCAACAGCAGCAGGUAUCCUACGGCAGUCCGCACCCGAUGAACCGAGCUGCGGGCGUGUACGUCGCCCCGCAGCAGCAGCAGCAGUUCCGACAGCAGCAAGAACACGCAGCGGCCGCCGCCGCCUUUUACUAUCAAGCAUUUGCUCAGCAGCAGCAACGGCAGCAGCAGCAGGUGCCAUACCCUCCGUCGCCACAGCUGAAGCAACCGCAGCCGAUCAUCAGUAGCACCAGCAGUGGGUUUGUGGCUACCGCCGGCACCUCGUCGUCCUCGAGCUACCCCUUCCCAGCCCUGUACUACGACCUGCAGCAGCACCUCUGGCAACAGCAGCAGCAGUAUCACACGACGCGGAACAGUAGCGGCUUUGUCGGUGUCGCCCCCACCGCCGCCGCCGCCGAUCAAGACGGAGGUAGCAGUCACCGAAGCGACGGCACUUCCAGCACCACCGCAACGAGUGCCAGCGCGCAGCAGCAGCAGCAACAGCAGGUGUUCCCGUACACGCCGUACGUGGGAUAUCCAAGCGUUGCGUUUGGUGUAGGCGGUACACACAAUACCGACGCGACGAGGACUGCUGCCGGUGGUGGUGAGAUGCCCCAGCAGCACCAGCAGCCGGACAUGGUGGCGAUGCCGUCUAUGAUGACCUAUCAGAGCGCCGCCGCCGUAGCGACAGGGUCGCCGGUGAACACCAGCAGUGAUGAUGCCGGUGUCAGUGCAAGUGAGCCGCCGCCGAAGCAGCAGCAGCAACAGUCUGCCCAUGGCGGUUAUCAGCAUCCUGCUUCACAUCAUCGCUCCGGUGGUGGUGAUGGCAGGCGUGCCGCCUCUCAGUAGCGUCAUCCGCGUCAGCGCGGACAGCGGCAUGGCUUACUGCUCCUCCGCCAGCAACGACAGCAAGCGAUCACCUUCAAAUGCGGUGCUGCUGAAGGAGUCGCGGAGGGGUGCCAGAGACGGCAGCGGCGCAGGAGUGUGGGGGCUGAAGCUGGUGGAGUUGCUGGCGAGGCCGGCCAAGUGUGGCGCGCACAUAGAGAUAAUGCUGCAGCCGCGCCGUCGCGCAGCACUUGCGGAUAGACUGUGCGCAGGUGCGAGUAGGUGCGUUGCGUAAGAGCGGCACAUGAAGACAGGUGCGGCACAGACGCCAGCGAAGCACGUCGUCGCUCGCAGCGGGUACACCGCGACACGUCAAGAUAAGUAAGAGUGUGAAAGAAUGCGCUUAAGAGUUGAGCAUAGAGAAGUCAAGCAAGGAAAGACACCGCACGCAUGAUGUGUGCAGAUGUGAUGCCCGCGUGCAUUUGAAGGCGGACAAGCGUUGUCGAUCGCUGGCCCUCGCUGCGCGUCUGUGCGCCACCUCAAUCCCUGGAGUGCGAUGGCAUACACGGGCAUCGGCUCCCUUCUCCUCUCCCUGUCCUCCAUGCGAUGGGAGCUCGUCAAGCACGUCAUGCUCAGCGACGUGGGUGCUCCUGUGUGCGCUCUUCCAGCUUCUCCUCGCUCGUGUCAACUCUUCCCCUUAUCCCUCGAUCUCUGUACCCCUCCGGGUCUCUCUGCCGUGCUUCACCGCAUGCGACCCCUCUCCCCCCCCUUCACACGCGCACACCGCUUUUCUCCAACUCCCCACAG